AUUGAACGCUGGCUGCAGGCCUAACACAUGCAAGUCGAACGGUAACAGGAAACAGCUUGCUGUUUCGCUGACGAGUGGCGGACGGGUGAGUAAUGUCUGGGAAACUGCCUGAUGGAGGGGGAUAACUACUGGAAACGGUAGCUAAUACCGCAUAACGUCGCAAGACCAAAGAGGGGGACCUUCGGGCCUCUUGCCAUCGGAUGUGCCCAGAUGGGAUUAGCUAGUAGGUGGGGUAACGGCUCACCUAGGCGACGAUCCCUAGCUGGUCUGAGAGGAUGACCAGCCACACUGGAACUGAGACACGGUCCAGACUCCUACGGGAGGCAGCAGUGGGGAAUAUUGCACAAUGGGCGCAAGCCUGAUGCAGCCAUGCCGCGUGUAUGAAGAAGGCCUUCGGGUUGUAAAGUACUUUCAGCGGGGAGGAAGGGAGUAAAGUUAAUACCUUUACUCAUUGACGUUACCCGCAGAAGAAGCACCGGCUAACUCCGUG
RNAcentral lists this ribosomal RNA (490 nucleotides) under uncultured bacterium. Its description in RNAcentral is "partial 16S ribosomal RNA". It matches the Rfam family "Bacterial small subunit ribosomal RNA", at positions 30 to 507 of the family's 1533-position model. The record is from RNAcentral.